UUUUUUUCCUUUCAAGAAGAAUACUACUUCCUCCAUGAGAAAGUAGGUACCUUUGUUGGUCCACAUACCAAGGGACAACUGAUCCGUUGCCAUUAUCUUUAAAAUUUAGACUUAUCUUGGUUCAAACUUAUCUUAGAUCUCAACACACAUAUGUGAUAAGCAGUGUUAAAUAAGGAUUUCUGUGGUAGCGAUGGAAGUAUAUUUUAA
This 207-nucleotide long non-coding RNA is filed under the name Hordeum vulgare. RNAcentral describes it as "long non-coding RNA (HVUL_LNC004617)". The record is from RNAcentral. Lineage: Eukaryota; Viridiplantae; Streptophyta; Magnoliopsida; Poales; Poaceae.